This 496-nucleotide ribosomal RNA is filed under the name uncultured bacterium. RNAcentral describes it as "partial 16S ribosomal RNA". It matches the Rfam family "Bacterial small subunit ribosomal RNA", at positions 29 to 507 of the family's 1533-position model. The record is from RNAcentral.
AUGAACGCUGGCGGCGUGCCUAAUACAUGCAAGUCGAGCGAACGGACGAGAAGCUUGCUUCUCUGAUGUUAGCGGCGGACGGGUGAGUAACACGUGGAUAACCUACCUAUAAGACUGGGAUAACUUCGGGAAACCGGAGCUAAUACCGGAUGAUAUUUUGAACCGCAUGGUUCAAAAGUGAAAGACGGUCUUGCUGUCACUUAUAGAUGGAUCCGCGCUGCAUUAGCUAGUUGGUAAGGUAACGGCUUACCAAGGCAACGAUGCAUAGCCGACCUGAGAGGGUGAUCGGCCACACUGGAACUGAGACACGGUCCAGACUCCUACGGGAGGCAGCAGUAGGGAAUCUUCCGCAAAGGGCGAAAGCCUGACGGAGCAACGCCGCGUGAGUGAUGAAGGUCUUCGGAUCGUAAAACUCUGUUAUUAGGGAAGAACAGAUGUGGAAGUAACUGUGCACAUCUUGACGGUACCUAAUCAGAAAGCCACGGCUAACUACGUG